This 776-nucleotide ribosomal RNA is filed under the name uncultured Neocallimastigales. Its description in RNAcentral is "partial large subunit ribosomal RNA". It matches the Rfam family "Eukaryotic large subunit ribosomal RNA", at positions 24 to 618 of the family's 3401-position model. The record is from RNAcentral. Lineage: Eukaryota; Fungi; Neocallimastigomycota; Neocallimastigomycetes; Neocallimastigales.
UAUCUCUGUAGAGUCUGCAUAUCAAUAAGCGGAGGAAAAGAAACUAACUAGGAUUCCCUCAGUAACGGCGAGUGAAGCGGGAAGAGCUCAAAUUUGAAAUCUUCAAGGUUCUACCUUGACGAAUUGUAGUUUAAAGAAGUGUUUUCUGUUGGAGUUUUGGUAAAAGUUCUUUGGAAUAGGACAUCAUAGAGGGUGAGAAUCCCGUAUUUGACCAUUACUUUCCAGCGUUGUGAUACACUUUCAAAGAGUCGGAUUGUUUGGGAAUGCAGUCCAAAAUGGGUGGUAAAUUUCAUCUAAAGCUAAAUAUUGGCGAGAGACCGAUAGCGAACAAGUACCGUGAGGGAAAGAUGAAAAGAACUUUGAAAAGAGAGUUAAACAGUACGUGAAAUUGUCAAAAGGGAAGCGUUUGACACCAGUGUUGUUUUCUACGAAAAUCAAUUAAAUGAUGGCUUGAUGCUAAGCUUUAAGACUUUAUCCGCUUGUUGUUUAGUUUUCUUGUCUUUGUGAAUGCACUUUUCGUGGAACAAGUCAACAUCAAUUUCUUUUGCUGUAAAAGGGUAAGAGGAAGGUGGCUUCGGCUUCGGUUGAAGUGUUUAUAGCCUUUUAUCUCUGCAGUCGGAGAGAUUGAGGUCUGCAGCGUAGACUCUUCGGGGUUAGAUACGUCGGUGCUAAGCUAUAGCUUUUCAUAGACAACUUGUUGACUAUGUUUAGUCAUGUGGCUUACCCGCUGGCGCUAUUUUACCUACGCUUAGGAUGUUGAGUCAUCACACAUCUCU